UUAUCAUCGAAGAAUACAAUGUGGAGCUGUACUUAUGGGGCUCAGGCUCAUAGACUCUGAGGUCUGGAAGUUGAAAAUGACUUACAAGUCAAUUUUAAGCACCUUUACAAAUGAGCCUUGGGUUACAGGAUUGUUUUUUGUAUUUAUGCUGAUUUUGUGUGUAUUCAGUGUGCAAACCUAACCUUUCUUAUAUUCUUUAAAAAGGAGCUGUGAUGUGAGUCAAUUCAAUUUACUAAGCAUCAGAGCGUCCUGUUAUCUAGCAUGACAGUCACAAAGGGGAAUGAAGCAAGGGCUCUGCCUUAAAAGGAGAUCUUUAAUCAGAAAUGAUAGUAAUACACUGUGAGAUUGAAAUAACAAGAGUAGGCACAGGGUUUUUUGCACACAAAGAGAAGAGUGGAAAAAUCUUGUGAGCGGAAAUAAUAAAAACUUAUUACUUUAGGAGUUUAAUGGAUCUGAAAAAAAAAAAAAAAAACAGUCUUUGAGGAAAAACCAGGAGCUGACAUUAUGUGAGAUUUCAAGGAUACCCAAAAGCUCACUUGAGUAGAGUCUUGUUUGGGACUCAGCAUACUGAGUGGGGUAAGCUGUAAAGAGGCCAGACCCUAAAGGACCUUAGAUACCAUAUGCUGAAGAUUGGGAGGACGUUUGGGAGAAGCGGGAAUGACAAGUAAGCUUGGGAGCCAUGGUGUGCCGAGCUCACCAGUGGAGCACAGUUUGCACGCCAUGCAGCAUGCCAGCUUCGGAAGAUUUUCUCACUAUGGACAUCAGACAACCUCCACUGAAUCCUAACCAGAACCUAUGAGGCUACUGAAAAGUUGUGCGAUCCUGCAUAACUUCUGUCACGCCUGAAAACCUCAGGACACUGAACUUCUCAUCUGGAAAAAAAUAAAACUUUUUACCUAUAAAGUUGGGAGGAUUAAUUAAGACAGUACAUGUACUGUAUAAUAUUUAACCCAGGGUCUUGUGUAUACC
This 969-nucleotide long non-coding RNA is filed under the name Homo sapiens (human). RNAcentral's name for it is "HSALNT0305649". The record is from RNAcentral. Lineage: Eukaryota; Metazoa; Chordata; Mammalia; Primates; Hominidae.